Molecule: ribosomal RNA, 253 nt
Filed under: uncultured bacterium
Lineage: Bacteria
Description: partial 16S ribosomal RNA
Rfam family: Bacterial small subunit ribosomal RNA
Source: RNAcentral
UACAGAGGGUGCGAGCGUUGUUCGGAAUUAUUGGGCGUAAAGGGCGCGUAGGCGGCGCCACAAGUCACUUGUGAAAACUCUGGGCUCAACUCAGAGCCUGCAAGCGAAACUGUGGUGCUGGAGUAUGGGAGAGGUGCGUGGAAUUCCCGGUGUAGCGGUGAAAUGCGUAGAUAUUCGCAAGAACACCAGUGGCGAAGGCGGCUCACUGGCCCGGUACUGACGCUGAGGUGCGAAAGCGUGGGGAGCAAACAGG